AUGGGGGGACCACCCUCCAACCCUAAAUACUACCCAGUGACCGAUAGCGUAUAGUACUGUGAAGGAAAGGUGAAAAGGACCCCGGGAGGGGAGUGAAAGAGAACCUGAAACCUUGUGCCUACAAGCACAUAGAGCACAUCAACGUGUGAUAUGGUACUUUUUGUAGAACGGUCCGGCGAGCGAUUGUAUGUUGCGAGCUUAAGCGCUUAAGGCGUGGAGGCGUAGCGAGAGCGAGUCUGAAAAGGGCGUUCAGUAGCAUGCAAUGGGCCCGAAACCGGGUGACCUACCCAUGAUCAGGCUGAAGUGAAAGUAAAAUUUCAUGGAGGGCCGAACCGACCUCCGUUGAAAAGGCGGCGGAUGAAUUGUGGGUAGCGGAGAAAUUCCAAUCGAACUCGGAGAUAGCUGGUUCUCCCCGAAAUAGCUUUAGGGCUAGCCUCAUAUUAGAUACCCGGAGGUAAAGCACUGAAUGGCCUAGCGCCCGAGAGGGUAGCGAAGCCUAUCAAACUAAGAAUGCCGGAGUAUUGAUGUAUGGGAGUCAGACAGUGUGAGAUAAAUCUCAUUGUCAAAAGGGAAACAGCCCAGAUCUACAGCUAAGGUCCCAAAUUGUAUCUAAGUGGAAAACGAUGUGGAAAUACGCAGACAACCAGGAUGUUGGCUCAGAAGCAGCCACUCAUUUAAAGAGUGCGUAAUAGCUCACUGGUCGAGCGUCUCUGCGCGGAAAAUUUAACGGGGCUAAGAUACAAACCGAAGCUUAGGCUGCAUACUUAGUAUGCGGGGUAGGGGAGCGUUGUGUAAGCGGAGAAACAGUAGCGAAAGCGGCUGUGGAGUUUACAGAAGUGAGAAUGCCGGAAUGAGUAGCGCGAAUGUGGUGAGAAUCCACAUGGCCGGAAACCUCAGGUUUUUGGAGGAAGGUUCGUCCGCUCCAAGUUAGGCGGGAGCUAAGGUAAGGCCGAAAGGCGUAGCCGAUGCACAGACGGUAGAGAUUCCGUCCCCACCGAAAGACUUAAGCACAGGGACACUUUCAGAAGGUCGGAGCCAGGUGUUGGUUCUGGUAGUGAUCGAGGGAAAUAUAGUACCGAAGUCCGGCUGGAAGAGAGGCGAGAAAAGCUGUGUGUAUGUUUAAGGUGCCCGUACCGCAAACCGACACAGGUAGGUAGGAAGAAGAUUCUAAGGCCAACGGGAGAAGGGUUGUUAAGGAACUCGGCAAAUUGACCCCGUAACUUCGGGAGAAGGGGUGCUCCAGAGAUGGAGCCGCAGAGAAUCGGCCCAAGCAACUGUUUACCAAAAACACAGGUUUGUGCUAAAUCGAAAGAUGACGUAUACGAGCUGACGCCUGCCCGGUGCUGGAAGGUUAAGAGGAGAUGUGCAAGCAUUGAAUCGAAGCCCCAGUGAACGGCGGCCGUAACUAUAACGGUCCUAAGGUAGCGAAAUUCCUUGUCAGGUAAGUUCUGACCCG
RNAcentral lists this ribosomal RNA (1456 nucleotides) under human gut metagenome. RNAcentral's name for it is "bacterial LSU rRNA". It matches the Rfam family "Bacterial large subunit ribosomal RNA", at positions 444 to 1990 of the family's 2925-position model. The record is from RNAcentral.